UUUUGACUUUAAUUAGGAUUCAAUAACUCCUAUUUCGACUUUGAUUGACUUUGAUCACAACUCAAUAAACUCCUAAUGCAAUUUAACUACGAUUGUAUUUUGUCUACAAAAUUGCCAAUAUAACAUAAAUUCUAACAAUCUCCCCAUUUGGUAUUCUGUGACAAAACUAUACAAUGCAAGUCAAGGAAAUAAAAAUAAAAUCUAAUCUAUCCAAACCAAAAUUGAAUGUUUGUCUCUUACAUUCCUUAUUAACCUAUUUCCUGAAAUCGACAACUCACAUACCAAGUGUAAAAGAACAUUAUAAAGGAAAUAUAACAAUUGAAAUCUACAAUCAUAAAUAUGCUGGCUAGAUUGAGAAGUAAUACUAGUGUUAAUCAAAAUACCAAUUGAAACUUUAAUAUCACCAAACAUCAAAAUUCAAAGAACCUAUGCAUUAUGAUAUGGAAUGCCAUGAAUAAAAGAUACUAUCAUCUUUUCCCCUUACUGCAAACUCUCCCUAAAAUGCAUCUAACUCUUAACUCAAAAUUACGACCAAAUCUUUCUCGCCCUAUUUUGUCACAAAUGACUAAGGGAAUUAUAUUAAAUACACAUGAACAUCAAUAUAUAAUAACUCAAAGAUACAGUUGAUAGAAUGCACAAGCAUAGUUAAUGAUCAAUACAUUUUUCCACAUACUCAAUUCAAGUUAAAAUGGAGUAAAUUGGAUAAUUGACCCCAUCUAUGUAAAGUGUUACUAAUACUUUGUAAGCAGGACUUCAAACCUUAAUUUUGUGAGAAUAGACAUUCUAAACAUCUCUGUCAAUAAGCUUAUCCCUCUACUUAAGAAAGUUAAACCAAUAAUAGCAUAUUAUGCCCUAUAAAAAAAGCUCAUUUUGCAUGUAUAUUAUUCUUUUCUCCCCUCAACUUUGAGAAUAUAUAUAUAUAUAUAUAUAGACACACACAUACAUUUUCCAAAUUUUUAAGCUUAUCAUUUUUCUCAUCAAUUUUUCACAUCUUAUUUACAAGCUUUUCUCCAUUAAAUGACUGAAAUGACCCAUGUAACUAACUUUAGGCUAAUUAAUCUAAGUCAGUUGAUUAUAGGCACUAUGUUCUGAGAAACCCC
This 1100-nucleotide long non-coding RNA is filed under the name Olea europaea subsp. europaea. The record is from RNAcentral. Lineage: Eukaryota; Viridiplantae; Streptophyta; Magnoliopsida; Lamiales; Oleaceae.